CUCGGACAGUUUGAGCUUUGUCCAGCGCCUUGGCUCCAGUCUUUCGUCUUCCACACACUCAAACACACGCCACGGUUUGUCUACGGCUGCGUUCACACCUGCCGCGCCCCUUUAUUUCAUUUCCAUCAUCGCCGCACAGACCACGAGCUCUCUACGCCUGCAGGGCAUUUUCACUUUUACACUUCUGUCCUGGUUCCUAAAUAAAAGCACCAUUGUUGACGUUGGACGCUUCUUUAUUAUUCGUUUGAAUCUCAGUCUAUUCAUCUGUUCAGGUGUGUAGCGAGUGUGUCGCGAAUCCGUGAUUCCGAUCGAAAUGCAUCCAUGCAACGAUCAUAAACCGAUUGUUCUUCAUUAGAAGUCAUUAUAUUACUGGGAAAAAACAAGAAGGAAAAAAAAACCCGAUAAACUGCCACCAGCGAGAGGAUCGGACUGUAACUUCGUAACGUGAUCGUGUGUGUGUGUUUUUUUUUUAAACAGUUCUUAUCUACGUCAUCACUCGCGAAUUAACGCUACCUGAGAAUCACAUCAUCGAUCAGAGGUUAAGGAAAUUGCAUCGUAUGAUAGAUCGGUCCCUCACGCCUCUCGCCGAAAUUAAACGCAAAACCCAGGAAAAAUUUCUAAGUUACACGAAGCCGCGCCAUGUGACGUCGUCACGACGCGCGCUCGGCCGGUUAGAGUAGUUUUCCGCAAAUAAACAACAACAAAAAAAAACAUAGCUGCUGAGAUCGGAGAUCUCGGUCAUCAUCGCCCCCUACUGGAUACACUCUGUACUGCAUUUGAAGAGACUUAAAAUUCGGGUGAAUUCUGAAAAAUACAUCUAAAUCCGUUAAAUUAAGGACGGUGUUCGUGGGUACACGUAUACAGGUACUUCGUUCUGAAAACCGUAACGGAUAUCUCCGGAGCCGGUACGUUCCUACUCGCCAGUUUUGUAAAAUAUUAACGUAGCUGCCAUUUUGAUUCGCCAUAAAGGCUUUGUCUCGAACGCUAACGUCAACAUAUUUCUAAACAAUGAUCGUUCAUAUGCAAAGUUAGUAAAGGUUUAUCGCAUGGUCAGCGUGACGUACCGCGAUAGUCUAAAACGGGACAUUAAAGGAGACGGGUUAAAGGUGAACGGAUGAGUCACGAGUCACCCCGGGGUGGGGCGGGGUCGAUGAUUGAAGAAUAGGGAUUGUGGUAGGUCUGAGAUUCUGAUCCGUCGGAGACAAACGCUAGAGAUCGGCAUCUUUGGUUCAUCUCCGCCUCGAGCGAAAUAUCGCGUGUCUUUUCACUCCAGCACCCCCUGGGGUGAGACAGCGAGAAUCACAGCGUCACACACCUGUUCCUCGGAUGUGGUAGGGGCUCGGUUUCGUGUCUCACGCACAAAUAGGACGUGUGUGACCGCAUACGGGGAAGGAAAAACCACCCGCUUUCAUGGAUAUCGUGUUCUAAGACGCUGGCCCGAGGUCACACAUUCCACAGCUGUAUACUAAUCCCGCGGUUAUUAGUCAGCUCAUUACGUCGCUACGCUGAAUGACCAAAUGGAGCUUAACGACGGGGUACGGAACCUUUAAAACUCAGAAGGAAAAGAGCGCACGCGUUAAUAAUAAUAAUAAUAAUAAUAAUAAUAAUAAUAAUAAAAAAACAAAACGGGGCGCAGUUUAAUCGCAGCAAUAACGACGCUAAUUAACGUAGGAAGGCUCCCGUAAACUCUACCGAUCGAGGAAGAGAAAGACGUUCGAGCCUGGGGUGUUUUCCAGCACUGUCGCUCAUCGAGGACACACACACAACACACACACACACACACACACACACAAACAGAGAGGAGGUCAGAACAACCGCAUCAAAGUAGCGAGAGCCUCCGCGGUCGGUCGUCAGCAUCGAGUCGCUCCGAACAACAACGGAGUCCGUAUAAACGUGGAGGAGUCCGCGCCGGUUUAUCGACACCGGUCUCGCUCCCACCGGAGACGUGUCGACAAUAUAAAAAGAGAGAGAGGAAAAACCGAGACAGAGACAGACAGAAAGAAAGGAAGUAAGAGAGACUCCGUUUACACGUCCUCUUACCACAUCUGGAUUGGGCGGAAACUUGUUUAAAGUUUUAAAAACAACCAAUCCGAAUACGUAAUUAUCCUAGUACCUAUUCUCAGUAAUAGAAUAAUUACUAAUAAUAAUAGAACAAUAACUAAAUAAUAGAACAAUAAUUACCCCCCAAAACAUAAACAUACGUAUAAGGAAGCGUCCCUUUCUCCAACCGAAACAAUGCCCGAAAUGUUGAAAUCCGCUCGGCCCCGCCCCUUUUCUCCAUAAAAGCCAACUCACAGAGAGUUUUAACAGAGAGAGAGAAGGGGGGAAGUUAAAUAAAUGAUAUAAAAGAAAUAGGAUUAAUUCAUUUUAUAUUUGAUAUGAUAUUUAUCUUACGUAACUUUAUAAUUUAUCAAAAACAUUUUUUUUUUAUUGAUUUAUAAUUACAGAUCCCUUAUGGCAAACGGAAAAAAGUGUUAUUUCGUCCCUCGAGGUAGCGUUGUUCUCUGAGCACUCGGCGGUUUAUUCCGGUUGAUAAUCUCUGUGGAAAUAGCUAUUAAAUAAAUAAAGUACACCAAUUAUACAUUGCUAUUCUGUUUAUGUCCGUUUCAGAGCAGUCCUGGGUGCAUCUCUACCCGCG
Molecule: long non-coding RNA, 2638 nt
Organism: Ictalurus punctatus (channel catfish)
Lineage: Eukaryota; Metazoa; Chordata; Actinopteri; Siluriformes; Ictaluridae
Source: Ensembl